RNAcentral lists this small RNA (85 nucleotides) under Salmonella enterica. Its description in RNAcentral is "partial RtT sRNA". It matches the Rfam family "RtT RNA", at positions 42 to 130 of the family's 130-position model. Rfam says of the family: This family represents a bacterial cis-regulatory element known as RtT RNA. RNAcentral also lists the same sequence under 1 other name. The record is from RNAcentral. Lineage: Bacteria; Pseudomonadati; Pseudomonadota; Gammaproteobacteria; Enterobacterales; Enterobacteriaceae.
UCAGAUGUUGAGCGUGAAGGAUAACGUUGCGUCAGCAACGGCCCGUAGGGCGAGGCGAAGCCGAGUCAUCCUGCACGACCCACCA